UAUAGGAGAGAAAAUGUGUUGAAAAGGUAGGGAAACAAGUUAGGGAAAGUGUGUUUGGGGAGAAAAGGGUGGGGAAGGGAGGUAGAAGUUUUGAGAGAGAAAAGAAUGCAUUGACUGUUGUGAACAAGGGAGUACAGUGCUGUACUUGAAUUUUGUAAUUAAUUAAUGGUAGAAUUUUCUCUGUAUACAAUAUAUUUGUUUUUCAGGUUCAAGUUAUUCCUUGGAGGCAUAUUUUGACCUCCUUACCAUUUUGGGCCAUCUUCAUUGUGCACAUAGCACAAAACUGGGGCUUUUUACACUCUCUUAACUGAGCUGCCUACAUACAUGAAGAACAUUUUGCACUUCAAUAUAGCUCAAACCUUCCCUGAGUCGCCCAGGCUGAGCGGUGAUGGCGGCUGCUCGCUUCCCAUUGGUCGAGACAGCAGAAUGUAAACACUUCUACCUUGCCGGCGCCAAAACUCGUGUUUCUCGGUAUAGUGCUCCUUAUAUACUGAAGCAUUUCACCCAAUACAAUGUCGGUAAGUACUGAUUUGUGUGUCUAGUGUGUAAAUGAAUAGUUUAGCCAUAUUUUGAUAUAUAUAUGAAGGCGUUGUGAAGCAUAUUACGAGUGCACCAUGCAAAUGAAAAAAGUGCAACAAAAUAGGACCAAGCACAGUCGUUCCUGCCCUUUUAGGUGCAGUUUUCAAGUUUCGGUAUAUAAAUAUUUCCAUAAAAUUUGGUAGUGUAUAUAUGAAUUCAGUAAUGGUCUGGGUGUGUACAGAACGUUUUUAUUGUCCUUCCAGAUCAAUAAGAAAUUGUUCUACGGUGAGUCCUCCAAGGAUAAGUCGAAAUUUGUCUGUGUUUGGGAUGACAGUGACUCAGAUCAAGAUCCAGAUGACCUGGAAGUGGUGGAAACUGAUGAUGAAUACUUGCCACAAGAUGCAGAGGUGCCAACAGAUGAGAAGGAAGCUAUGCCACCAUCCAAAAAGAAGAAAUUGAACAAGAAGAAGAUACUUGCUUACAUGCAAGUAUUGCAGCAACAAGAAUAAUCAUGUCGCAUCUUCAUUUUCCUGUGCCACAUGCAAAGUAAAUCUAUCCAUCAAGAAGGAUAGAAAUUGUUUCAUAAAGUUUCAUUGCAGAAAUUAGUGAUGUAAAAGGAUUGUUCUUUCUCAGGGAACUCAAGAAUAUUUCAUUUGUAAGUUGUAUCUCAUUGCAAUGUGUCAUUGUUGAUAAGUAGUUCCUACUUCUAUUUUUUUACUGCUUAUAAAUUGUUCAGAAACAAGUUCCAUUUAUGUUUUUUAUAUUGUCUACUUUUAUAAUAAAUUUAAAAAAUA
Molecule: non-coding RNA, 1313 nt
Organism: Cherax quadricarinatus
Lineage: Eukaryota; Metazoa; Arthropoda; Malacostraca; Decapoda; Parastacidae
Source: RefSeq, a predicted model, not a curated record